Long non-coding RNA from Lutra lutra (Eurasian river otter), 1176 nucleotides. RefSeq lists it as uncharacterized. The transcript is spliced from 3 exons. Lineage: Eukaryota; Metazoa; Chordata; Mammalia; Carnivora; Mustelidae. The record is from RefSeq and is a predicted model, not a curated record.
GAGGACGAGGAUACUGGGGAAGAACGGAGUGCCUUUGGAGUAGUGUGGGUGCGGGGGUUCUACGAGCUCCGUGAACUGCGCAGCCAGAGCUACCCUCCCAAGCAACGCUGCAGUACAAGAAGGCCCUUGCUGUGCCGCUGCUGGAAUUCGUCCACAGAUCUGCACGGGGGAAAUUGGUCUGCACCUUUGUUUUCUCAUAAUGUCCUUAUUUUGGCUUUGAAAUUAAAGUCAUUGAGUCUUCAUAAAACCAGUUGGGGAACUUUUUGCCGUUUUCUGUCUCUGGAAGAGUUUGUGUGAGUUAACAUGGGCCUUUCGCUGGGCUGGCACAUUUGGGCCUUGACUUUUCUUGAUGGGAAAGUUUUCAAUUAUAGUUUGGACUCCUGUACUAUUUAUAGGAUCACCGGUGUUUACUGUUUCUUCUGGGGUCAACUUUGGUGGGGUGGUUUUCUGGAAAUCUGUCUGCUUGUCUCUUAAAAUUUUAAAUAAAAUUAAAUUUUAAAAAUAAUAUUUAAAAAAGUUGAGAUUAUUAAGAUAUUACAGUUCAGAGUAUCUUAUUCACAGUAUCUGCCGUCAGGUCCCGUUAAGUUUCCAGGUGCACUUUAUACAUAACAAAAAUAUAAAGAUAUGAAAAUUUUUAAAUUCCUCCAAAUUGUAUUUACCUGAUGGUGUGAUCACCACCUCACAGUCUGGCCACCGUGUCCAGGUCGCGGCGCAGCCCCCGUCGCUCCGGACCCCUGUAACGCCUGUCUCCUCCUUGUCCUUCCUGCGACCUCCUAGGUGUCUGCAGAAUCGGUUCUUCUGAAGAACGAGCUUCCAGCUGUCCGGAACCUUCGUGUCCAACGUGGUCUCCUAUGGUUUGCUUUUCUGGUCUCUCCUUUUUACUUCCCCGCUCCAACUUUGUCCCCUCGUCGCUCUAGAGCUCUGGAGCUCUGGGAUGUGUGCAGGGCCACUGACCCGCCGCCGUCCAUCUUCUGCAGCACGUGCGCUCAUGUUUUUUAAAUUUCCACCUAAGCAUGGCUCUCACCAUAUCCCGCAACUGUCCGUAUUUUUAUUAUCAUUCGGUUCACGAUGAUCAUGAACCGCGAUGUCUUCGCAGACCGCUGAGCGGCCGAGGAUUUUAUGUACCCAGUGGCGAUCAGACCACGUGCCCGCCACGCUUCACCUCCCCUGAAUCCC